GAUGAACGCUGGCGGCGUGCCUAAUACAUGCAAGUCGAGCGAACGGACGAGAAGCUUGCUUCUCUGAUGUUAGCGGCGGACGGGUGAGUAACACGUGGAUAACCUACCUAUAAGACUGGGAUAACUUCGGGAAACCGUAGCUAAUACCGGAUAAUAUUUUGAACCGCAUGGUUCAAAAGUGAAAGACGGUCUUGCUGUCACUUAUAGAUGGAUCCGCGCUGCAUUAGCUAGUUGGUAAGGUAACGGCUUACCAAGGCAACGAUGCAUAGCCGACCUGAGAGGGUGAUCGGCCACACUGGAACUGAGACACGGUCCAGACUCCUACGGGAGGCAGCAGUAGGGAAUCUUCCGCAAUGGGCGAAAGCCUGACGGAGCAACGCCGCGUGAGUGAUGAAGGUCUUCGGAUCGUAAAACUCUGUUAUUAGGGAAGAACAUAUGUGUAAGUAACUGUGCACAUCGUGACGGUACCUAAUCAGAAAGCCGCGGCUAACUACGUG
This 497-nucleotide ribosomal RNA is filed under the name uncultured bacterium. RNAcentral describes it as "partial 16S ribosomal RNA". It matches the Rfam family "Bacterial small subunit ribosomal RNA", at positions 28 to 507 of the family's 1533-position model. The record is from RNAcentral.